AUAAUAUGAACCUUUUUAAUUGAUUAAAAUGAAAAUUUGUCUCGAUUUUACACGUGUAAAUAAAUAUAUGUAUUUCAUGAAGUAAUCACACUAUUAACAAGCUUAUUCAAUUAAGUUAUUACUGCUUAUACAUAGAGUUUCCCUUAUCAUAAUUAAAGCGGACAUAUAAAUAGUGAUUUGUGACUUUUAUUUAAAUGCAGGUAAGAAGAAUACGAAAAGUAGAUUUACAUAAUUAAUCGAUACAGAUAUAAUUAACGUUCCGUCUCAUAAAGGUGAGCGGAAAAUAAUGCAUUUGGACGGCAAUUGAUUGCGCGCUGACACCACUCAUGAAGCGCACAUUAUGCGCCGUCUUUUAUUUGGUUCAAGUUGCGCAAGAAAUGUAUAAGUUUUCUCACGGAAGUUGAUCUCGCGCGCGAGGCGGAUAUCAGCGAAGUGUACUAUACGAAUAAUAAAAAAUAAUGAUAAACUCCGUCAUAUUUCUUCUAAUACAGUGUCGUAUUUCUUGUAAACGUAAACCCAUUUAAUUUUAGUUUAGUAUUACUGAUAGGAACAUGUAAAGUAUGAUGCGUUAUGACAAAUAUGCGGAGACACAACAUUGACAGAUCAAUGUAUUUGAUUAGAAUGUUGUGGUUUACUCUAGAUACGCGUAUCUAACUACAGUUCAAACUUAAUGUGAUAUUUAAACAAAUUUUAUUGCUAUUUAUAGAACUAUUUAUUAUAAUAAAAUUGUAUACAUGUUC
Molecule: long non-coding RNA, 740 nt
Organism: Ceratina calcarata
Lineage: Eukaryota; Metazoa; Arthropoda; Insecta; Hymenoptera; Apidae
Exons: 2
Source: RefSeq, a predicted model, not a curated record